GUGGACCACAGCAGACGAGGCAACCGUAAUUUUCAAUAAUGGCCACGCAUAUUUCGAUAUCAGGCGUGUGUGUAAUGUCCCAUGGAGAAUUUUACCAAUUUGGUUUCCAAAUCUUGGGCAUGAAGCAGCCUUGAACAUGUUACACAAACUUAUGUAAAAGAAAUUAAACAACAGACUACAGGAGCUCAAACGAGGCUAUUUAAAGAUGAAUGAAGAAAGGAUGGAAGCUUGCACAGGUUGUUUACAUCUUAUAAUAAGUUAUACUCAUUUUCUCAGCUUAGUUACCUGUACCCAAACAACCUCAAAACAAAUAAAUAAUUACACAUCUAUCAUUAAAAGAAUAUUUGGAGAUGGUUUCGGGGAUCAACGCCCCCGCAGCCCGGUCUGUGACCUGUCCUCGUGGUGGAUCAGGGCCUGAUCAACCACGCUGUUACUGAUGGCCGCACUCAAACCGACGUACGAACCACAGUCCGAGCAAUUGCAGUUGAUGGUUGCCGCUUUGCACUGAUAAUAAAACAAGCGGUUAUAAGUUCGGUGGUGACACUAAAUUACAAAAACAGCAAGAAAAUUCAUCGACAUACUGCAGACUACGAGCCGAUAUCUGACUCACUGUGUGUACUUAACUGGACCCGCCUCUUCACUGGCCGCUCUCUCCCUGCUGUAAGAGCUUUGUCGUACCUAUCCUUAAAGCUAUGAAUGGAUACUUCCUCCACUACAUCACUCGCAGAUUGUUUCACUUCCUGACAACUUUAGUGCUGAAGAAAUAUUUCCUAAUAUCCCUGUGACUCAUCUGAGUUUUCAGUUUUCAGUUGUGACUUCUUGUUGCUGUGUCACAUCUCUUGACAUCCUGUCCCUUUCCACCUUGUAAAUUCCUCUCAGUAUUUUAUACGUCGUUAUCAUGUUUCCCCCUAACCCUACUUUCUUCCAGUGUCGUCAGACUGGGUUCCCUAACCUCUCCUCGUAGGAUAUAACUCUUAGCUCCGGGACUAGUCUUGUUGCAAACCAUUGUGCACUCUAUUUUUUUGACAUGUAUGUGUGUAUGUGUGUGUGUGAAACAGAGUGCGAGAAGGUAGUGUAUAAAACAACGUGUGGGUUCCAACACACACGCUACAAGGACACCAUGAAGCUCGAGGUGAUGAUGGUGGUGGCAGCGGCGGCGUGUACGACAACAGUGACCAUAAAUACAGCUCCUGGACCCAUACAUAGCUUCAAAUUCUCCCAGAGUUUGUGGCAUCACCCACUGCAGUAUACACGAGGUAAAUAUUGUGUGUGUGUGUGUGUGUGUCUGUG
Cherax quadricarinatus is the source of this 1290-nucleotide non-coding RNA. NCBI's taxonomy places the organism in Eukaryota, Metazoa, Arthropoda, Malacostraca, Decapoda, Parastacidae. The record is from RefSeq and is a predicted model, not a curated record.